This 400-nucleotide ribosomal RNA is filed under the name Arthrobacter sp. AZTITEMP21. Its description in RNAcentral is "bacterial SSU rRNA". It matches the Rfam family "Bacterial small subunit ribosomal RNA", at positions 979 to 1378 of the family's 1533-position model. The record is from RNAcentral. Lineage: Bacteria; Bacillati; Actinomycetota; Actinomycetes; Micrococcales; Micrococcaceae.
GCUUGACNUGAACCGGAACACCUAGAGAUAGGUGCCCCACUUGUGGUCGGUUUACAGGUGGUGCAUGGUUGUCGUCAGCUCGUGUCGUGAGAUGUUGGGUUAAGUCCCGCAACGAGCGCAACCCUCGUUCCAUGUUGCCAGCGGGUUAUGCCGGGGACUCAUGGGAGACUGCCGGGGUCAACUCGGAGGAAGGUGGGGACGACGUCAAAUCAUCAUGCCCCUUAUGUCUUGGGCUUCACGCAUGCUACAAUGGCCGGUACAAUGGGUUGCGAUACUGUGAGGUGGAGCUAAUCCCAAAAAGCCGGUCUCAGUUCGGAUUGGGGUCUGCAACUCGACCCCAUGAAGUCGGAGUCGCUAGUAAUCGCAGAUCAGCAACGCUGCGGUGAAUACGUUCCCGGGA